Long non-coding RNA from Oncorhynchus tshawytscha (Chinook salmon), 671 nucleotides. Lineage: Eukaryota; Metazoa; Chordata; Actinopteri; Salmoniformes; Salmonidae. The record is from Ensembl.
GUACAGAGUCAAUGUGGAGGCUAUAUACAGGGUGUUACGGUACAGAGUCAAUGUGGAGGCUAUAUACAGGGUAUUACGGUACAGAGUCAAUGUGGAGGCUAUAUACAGGGUAUUACGGUACAGAGUCAAUGUGGAGGCUAUAUACAGGGGGUACCGGUACAGAGUCAAUGUGGAGGCUAAAUACAGGGGUACAGAGUCAAUGUGGAGGGUAUAUACAGGGUAUUACGGUACAGAGUCAAUGUGGAGGCUAUAUACAGGGUAUUACGGUACAGAGUCAAUGUGGAGGCUAUAUACAGGGUAUUACGGUACAGAGUCAAUGUGGAGACUAUAUACAGGGGGUACCGGUACAGAGUCAAUGUGGAGACUAUAUACAGGGGUACCGGUACAGAGUCAAUGUGGAGGCUAUAUACAGGGUGUUACGGUACAGAGUCAAUGUGGAGGCUAUAUACAGGGUAUUACGGUACAGAGUCAAUGUGGAGACUAUAUACAGGGGGUACCGGUACAGAGUCAAUGUGGAGACUAUAUACAGGGGGUACCGGUACAGAGUCAAUGUGGAGGUUAUAUACAGGGUGUUACGGUACAGAGUCAAUGUGGAGGCUAUAUACAGGGUAUUACGGUACAGAGUCAAUGUGGAGGCUAUAUACAGGGUAUUACAGUACAGAGUCAAUGUG